GUCAGGAUGGCCGAGUGGUCUAAGGCGUCGGACUCAAGAUCUGGGGCGUGGGUUCGAAUCCCACUCCUGACA
This is a non-coding RNA of Phascolarctos cinereus (koala), 72 nucleotides long. The record is from the annotation of a RefSeq genome assembly. NCBI's taxonomy places the organism in Eukaryota, Metazoa, Chordata, Mammalia, Diprotodontia, Phascolarctidae.